GACGAACGCUGGCGGCGUGCCUAAUACAUGCAAGUAGAACGCUGAAGGAGGAGCUUGCUUCUCUGGAUGAGUUGCGAACGGGUGAGUAACGCGUAGGUAACCUGCCUGGUAGCGGGGGAUAACUAUUGGAAACGAUAGCUAAUACCGCAUAAGAGUAGAUGUUGCAUGACAUUUGCUUAAAAGGUGUAAUUGCAUCACUACCAGAUGGACCUGCGUUGUAUUAGCUAGUUGGUGGGGUAACGGCUUACCAAGGCGACGAUACAUAGCCGACCUGAGAGGGUGAUCGGCCACACUGGGGCUGAGACACGGCCCAGACUCCUACGGGAGGCAGCAGUAGGGAAUCUUCGGCAAUGGACGGAAGUCUGACCGAGCAACGCCGCGUGAGUGAAGAAGGGUUUCGGAUCGUAAAGCUCUGUUGUAAGAGAAGAACGAGUGUGAGAGUGGAAAGUUCACACUGUGACGGUAUCUUACCAGAAAGGGACGGCUAACUACGUG
Molecule: ribosomal RNA, 495 nt
Filed under: uncultured bacterium
Lineage: Bacteria
Description: partial 16S ribosomal RNA
Rfam family: Bacterial small subunit ribosomal RNA
Source: RNAcentral